RNAcentral lists this small nucleolar RNA (115 nucleotides) under Mus caroli (Ryukyu mouse). RNAcentral describes it as "predicted gene, 23592 (MGP_CAROLIEiJ_G0036313.1)". It matches the Rfam family "Small nucleolar RNA SNORA17", at positions 1 to 117 of the family's 132-position model. From Rfam's summary of the family: snoRNA ACA 17 belongs to the H/ACA family of snoRNAs and is predicted to guide pseudouridylation of the 28S rRNA at positions U4659 and U4598. It shares the same host gene together with ACA43. NB This family has a high threshold value to exclude a large number of closely related sequences that do not appear to have conserved H and ACA boxes, and may be pseudogenes. Lineage: Eukaryota; Metazoa; Chordata; Mammalia; Rodentia; Muridae. The record is from RNAcentral.
CCUGCCAUCUAGAAGCCUUACAGGUGUGGCUGCUAUAUCAUGUCUGUCAGUAGAUGGCAGAGAGGAGAGAAGCUAUGUCUAGCUCAGUGUUCUGACCCAUGAAUAAUUUACCUCA